GAUGAACGCUGGCGGCGUGCCUAAUACAUGCAAGUCGAGCGAACAGACGAGGAGCUUGCUCCUCUGACGUUAGCGGCGGACGGGUGAGUAACACGUGGAUAACCUACCUAUAAGACUGGGAUAACUUCGGGAAACCGGAGCUAAUACCGGAUAAUAUAUUGAACCGCAUGGUUCAGUAGUGAAAGACGGUUUUGCUGUCACUUAUAGAUGGAUCCGCGCCGCAUUAGCUAGUUGGUAAGGUAACGGCUUACCAAGGCAACGAUGCGUAGCCGACCUGAGAGGGUGAUCGGCCACACUGGAACUGAGACACGGUCCAGACUCCUACGGGAGGCAGCAGUAGGGAAUCUUCCGCAAUGGGCGAAAGCCUGACGGAGCAACGCCGCGUGAGUGAUGAAGGUCUUCGGAUCGUAAAACUCUGUUAUUAGGGAAGAACAAAUGUGUAAGUAACUAUGCACGUCUUGACGGUACCUAAUCAGAAAGCCACGGCUAACUACGU
Molecule: ribosomal RNA, 496 nt
Filed under: uncultured bacterium
Lineage: Bacteria
Description: partial 16S ribosomal RNA
Rfam family: Bacterial small subunit ribosomal RNA
Source: RNAcentral